UACGUAGGGGGCUAGCGUUGUCCUGAUUUAUUGGGCGUAAAGAGCGUGUAGGCGGCCAGGUAGGUCUGCUGUGAAAACUCGAGGCUCAACCUCGAGACGUCGGCGGAAACCAUCUGGCUAGAGUCCGGAAGAGGAGAGUGGAAUUCCUGGUGUAGCGGUGAAAUGCGCAGAUAUCAGGAAGAACACGCGUGGCGAAGGCGGCUCUCUGGGACGGUACUGACGCUGAGACGCGAAAGCGUGGGGAGAGAACAGG
This 253-nucleotide ribosomal RNA is filed under the name uncultured bacterium. RNAcentral's name for it is "partial 16S ribosomal RNA". It matches the Rfam family "Bacterial small subunit ribosomal RNA", at positions 524 to 776 of the family's 1533-position model. The record is from RNAcentral.